RNAcentral lists this ribosomal RNA (396 nucleotides) under uncultured bacterium. RNAcentral's name for it is "bacterial SSU rRNA". It matches the Rfam family "Bacterial small subunit ribosomal RNA", at positions 29 to 418 of the family's 1533-position model. The record is from RNAcentral.
AAUGAACGCUGGCGGCGCGCCUAAUACAUGCAAGUCGAGCGAGAAGACGUAGCAAUACGUUUGUAAAGCGGCGAACGGGUGAGGAAUACAUGGGUAACCUACCCUAGAGUGGGGAAUAACUAGCCGAAAGGUUAGCUAAUACCGCGUACGCUCCUUGGACUUCGGUUCAGGGAGGAAAGCGAUGCCGAGGGUAUCGCGCUCUUGGAUGGGCUCAUGUCCUAUCAGCUUGUUGGGAGGUGACGGCUCACCAAGGCUUCGACGGGUAGCUGGUCUGAGAGGACGAUCAGCCACACUGGGCACUGCGACACGGGCCAGACUCCUACGGGAGCAGCAGUAAGGAUAUUGCGCAAUGGGCAAAGCCUGACGCAGCGACGCCGCGUGGGGGAUGAAGGUCUU